GCGGGUGUGGCGGAACUGGCAGACGCACUUGACUUAGGAUCAAGCACUGAAAGGUGUGGGGGUUCGAAUCCCUUCACCCGCACCA
Molecule: transfer RNA, 85 nt
Filed under: Candidatus Tokpelaia sp. JSC085
Lineage: Bacteria; Pseudomonadati; Pseudomonadota; Alphaproteobacteria; Hyphomicrobiales
Description: tRNA-Leu
Rfam family: tRNA
About the family: Transfer RNA (tRNA) molecules are approximately 80 nucleotides in length. Their secondary structure includes four short double-helical elements and three loops (D, anti-codon, and T loops).
Source: RNAcentral